This 500-nucleotide ribosomal RNA is filed under the name uncultured bacterium. RNAcentral's name for it is "partial 16S ribosomal RNA". It matches the Rfam family "Bacterial small subunit ribosomal RNA", at positions 30 to 523 of the family's 1533-position model. The record is from RNAcentral.
AUUGAACGCUGGCGGCAGGCCUAACACAUGCAAGUCGAGCGGAUGAAGGGAGCUUGCUCCUUGAUUCAGCGGCGGACGGGUGAGUAAUGCCUAGGAAUCUGCCUAGUAGUGGGGGACAACGUUUCGAAAGGAACGCUAAUACCGCAUACGUCCUACGGGAGAAAGUGGGGGCUCUUCGGACCUCACGCUAUUAGAUGAGCCUAGGUCGGAUUAGCUAGUUGGUAGGGUAAAGGCCUACCAAGGCGACGAUCCGUAACUGGUCUGAGAGGAUGGUCGGUCACACUGGAACUGAGACACGGUCCAGACUCCUACGGGAGGCAGCAGUGGGAAAUAUUGGACAAUGGGCGCAAGCCUGAUCCAGCCAUGCCGCGUGUGUGAAGAAGGCCUUCGGGUCGUAAAGCACUUUAAGUUGGGAAGAAGGGCUUACGGUUAAUACCUGUGAGUUUUGACGUUACCAACAGAAUAAGCACCGGCUAACUUCGUGCCAGCCGCCGCGGUAA